This is a non-coding RNA of Taeniopygia guttata (zebra finch), 8021 nucleotides long. The record is from RefSeq and is a predicted model, not a curated record. Lineage: Eukaryota; Metazoa; Chordata; Aves; Passeriformes; Estrildidae.
GGUCCGGGUCCGGGUCCGGGUCCGGGUCCGGGUCCGGGUCUGGGUCCGGGUCCGGGUCCGGGUCCGAGUGCGGGUCCGGGUGCGGGUCCGGGUGCGGGUGCGGGUCCGGGUCCGGGUCCGGGUCCGGGCCCCGACUGGCGUUAACGCAAUGCUGGUGUUUGUUUGCUUUGUCACACACACUAGCAAUGAACUGCUAUUCCUAGUCUCAUGUCCUUUUGCCUGAGGGCCCCUUAACUUCAAACUUAUAAUACUUCAGAGGGAAGGGCUUUACAUUCUCCAUUCCAAGGGAGGCUCCUGUCUUCCUUAGGAGACGCCUGUCUUUCAAACAGAAGCAGAUUUUGUUGCCCAAGUGUGGGGCACAAGAUCAUUGAGAGAAAAAGGGUGAAAAAAAGGAAUAACGGUUCUUGAGAAACCUAUUAAUUUUUUAUUUUUUGUGUGCUGGAUAUAGAAACUUCAUUAAGUGUCACUAUGUGGUCUAACUUACCCUGGUUUGGGUGGCACAUGGUCAUGGCUAUACUUCUCCUGUUUGCAGGCCCUUAUGUAAACAUGUGUCCUAUAAUUAGAACUACUGUGGCUGUUAUCCAGUUUAGAGGUUAGUAAGUGAGGAAUUAAUGGAUUUUUAACUUCCUUUGGAAGCCAGGCACAUGAAUUCACAGCUAUCACACACUACCUGUACACAUUAAACUCUGCAGCUAUUAAGUAGUUUCUACAGAGAACUGUAUGCAAACUAUAUGCAAUUCUGAGUUUCUGUACAAAGUACUCCAAACAGGAAAACCACAUAAACAAGAAUAGACUUCAGGGACAAUUUAGUGCCUGGAGAACUGAUCCACUUGGUGGUUGCAUCAGUUGUUCUUUUAUUUAGAUACCAGUAUUGUACCCUAGCCAAACUACGUAUUUGUUCUGAUUUGGAAUUUCUUAUACCAUUUCAUUGCUAUUACACUAUUUAUAGGGCUAUUUCUAGCUCACAAAUCCUUAACUGACUAAAGCAUGGGAGAUCUGAAGAGCCGUAGGAAACUUCCUGGCUUCUGUUGAAGACAUUGUGUAAACUCUAUUUUGAGAAGCUUCGUGGUAGCUCAAAAGAAAAACUUGGGGCAGAAGUUAUUCAGAUUAUUUGUUAUCAGAAUAUUUCUAAUGGUGUUUGAGAAAAUUAAGGUACAUAAAGCCGUGCUAGUUACUGCUUUCCUGUCUAGGCAAUAGCCAGUAGCUAUUGGAGAAACAUAAGACUUCAGGCUCCUGCUGUUAUGUCAGGUUUGGGGCUGUGGAAGGUGCUCUAGGAGGAAGCUCCGGGGUCAUCCGGAGUUACUUGGCACGGGAUUUGGCCUCUGGUCGCUCUGAACACAAGAGGGUGCUGGUUACUGCGUGGAGACUUUCCCUUAGGAAAUAGCUUUUUUUUCCUUCGGUUCUAGAAUGGAAAAGAGAGGGAAGUGUGCUGCCCUGAAGACCCAUAUACCAUGUACUGAAGAGUCACCAGUAUGCAUGAAAUCACAAUUAUUCAAGUCAGCAGAAGAUGUAAGCAAGUUUCAUCAUGUGAUGGAAAAGGAGGAAAGAGCUUUGCAAUAGUUUUCCUUUUGUAUAUGCCAACUUUUAUCCAGUCUCUUCUUGUUCUUGAGCAAGCAGAACUACUCUUUUAGUACCAUUAUUAACUUGUAUCAUCUUCCUUAAGUAAGCCUAACUUUUUCUCCUUGGAAUGGCAAUAAGUAAACUGUUUCAUUCAAUUUCCAAUUCAAUUACGUCCCUUUUCUGUUUUCUUACUCUGCAGUCAGGCCAUUACUUCUGCAUUGGAAAACUUUUUAGCUCUGAAAGAAUACGAAUGCGGCAGUAAAUACAAACAGUGAGCUCCUGCAACUUAAAUAGGUACCUCAUCUUAAUAAUGAUUUAAUAGGGUAGAAACCAGCUAACCAAAAAAAAUGCUAUUUACCCCUGAAUUACAGAGCUGCCAGACACCUUGAAUGGAACUGCCUCUAAGUACAUCCAAAAUACUUAAUGCCAGAGACAUUUGUCAAUGGAGCUAUCAAAAAUUGAGUAUUCAUCAAGUAGUAGCUUGAACAUACUCUUGGAAAACAAUCUAAGAAAUUACCUGAUUAUGAAAGACAAUAUUUUAAGGAAUUUUUACCAGCAGUCAAUUUAGAUUAAGAUUCUUUUUUUGAAUUGAGAUGUAGCUUCAUCUUUUUGUGUCUAUCCUUCCAAUUUAAUUCUUUAUGGCAGAUCAGCAAAGUCUUUGUCAUUUACUGAAAAAAAAUCCAAAGUAAGAAGUAAACAAUGCUGCUGCUGAACAGCUUUCAAUACAGUGUAUCAUCUGAGGACUACUUCUUGUUUUGACUUAUGCACUGUGAGUGAACAGUUAUAAUCUCCCUCUAGAAGAGAUGUUUUGCAUCUGGCCUGAAUGAGGAUAGGCCUUUGUAUUCCAGAAGAGUCCUGACUGCUACUCUCCAGACAAGUCAACACACUGAAACAAGCAGUUUGUUUUUACUUGUGCUAUGAUCACAUAAAUAUGAUACAAGAGAAACCUUCUUUCUGUGCUUUUUCUUGCCUCACAGCAUGUCUCAAUUGUGUUAGCAAUUAUCAGGUAGCAGGGCAGAGUAAAGUCAGUGGUAUACAGAACAUGUAGUCACGUGAAAUCAGAUAGAGAUUCUAAGUACCAGAUCCAGAGUAGAGGAUAAUGGAAUCACUGGAAAAAAUCAAGUCUCUUUACUUCCUCUUUUACAGAUGAUGCUUUAUGUUACUAGUUUUCAGUUACCUUUGUCUCUCCUGCUUUCCCUCUCCCCAGUUCAUGGUAUUUUUUUAUUUUGGACAUGUGUUAUAUUCACAGUAUAUUUCCACGGUCACAGGAGCUAAGUUGGCCAACUGCUGUUGAAUGUUGAUGACUAAUGAAGAACAUUCACUGGGCUGCCUGGCAGAGUGCUUAUGUAUUUCAUUGCCCAGCUCUCUCCUGGACUAAUUAUCUUCUUUUUUUAUCAGCACAAAAAGGCCUCCAAGUUCCCACUACUCCUGUGUCACAAAGCAGGAGCAGAGAAUGUAACUGCUAGUGUUAGGAUGGUAAGUGUAGCACAAUAACUGAGCAUUGUUAAGGAUUGAAGUUCAUCAAAGAUGUUCUAAACCAGACCUUGCUAACAAUGAACUCAAUUCCAUGUAUCCUCAUCCUAAACAAAGAUGGAACAAUAGUUGUGCUGACACCAGCAAGGUCAGAAUAUCACCCCAGGCCCUUGCCUUUCCCUUCCAUGUAAUUCUGCCCAGUCUUGUAUUUGGCAAGAAAGUUAUGGAUAAUUUUCCUUGCUCUUGUUCAGCUCUUUCCUGCACCAUUUAUCAUUCUUCUCAACAUAUCAGAUCACUUUUAACAUAAAUUUUAAGUUUAUAAGCACGAAAUAAGUAAAUCAAUUGCAGUUUACUUGAAGUGCACCUAUUGAGUAUGCUUCUUAUAAUGUAGUAGACUGUUUACAUUCUAGAUUAUCUAGACUAUCAUAGACAUAGUUUUCCUAAAACACAGUUGUUUCCUACAGAAAUAUUAAGAUUUUGCCAUAACUUCUGUCUCAUCAUAGAAUAUGCUUAUGCUAUGUAGUUUGUUGAGAAUAAGGCCCAAUACUGUUUAGGGUCUACAUGCAUGCUACUAAAACAUGGGCCUAUGCAAUGAAGAUGUUAAAAAAGAAAUUUCUUCACUCUAGGCUCCUCACAGCAGAGCUUCUGUCAUCCAGCUGCAGGAAAAAAUAACCAAAUAAUUGAAUGGUACAAUAAUAGGCCAGCUAGAGCCCGGUUAAUCUAUUGAGGGACCCCGUACCAAGAUCCAUGGGCCUUAAUUGCCUCAGAAUUCAUGCAUUUGUUCCUCGUGUGCCCUGCAUGUGCCUCUUAGUGCAAUGGCAACUUUUGGUCUGGGACAUCCUAACGCUUAUAGGAUUCUUUUCCUAUGACCCCACAGACAGAUCAGUAACUGUUCUUAUCUUUUUGUGACUCAGCUUUUGCUGAGGUGUGCAGCCUCCUCAUCUUCUGUUUUGUGCUUCUGAUGCAUUACUUUAGUUGGUAGAAGAUGGAAAAUUCAGAAGCCCUUGGCUUAAAGUAAGGAUUGCUAGGAAAUUACUUAAAUACUGGUUUGUAAUCAACAUUAUUCUCACUGUACAUGCUAGUAGGAAAAUUACUAAGAAAUUAUUCUAGCCAGAAACAUCUCUAGAUGAAAGUUUGCAACUACAGGCAAACAACUUCAGAAAAUUCAGCUACUCCUGCUAAAGUAAGUAAAUUCAAGGCAAACAACAUCCUAUAUCACACUGUGUUGUAACUCUAAGUGCCUUAUUCUUACUUAAAACUUGCUUAUUAAGCCAAACAUUAUCUGUCCACAAGGACCAGUCCAUAAUCAUUGUUUUCCAAUAUCAAAUCUCUGUCUCUAUUUUUCUUUUAUUCAUUUUAACAGGUUAAGCAUCUUCUCACCAUUAUUUUCUUUUCAGAAAACUAAGUAAUAUUUAUUUUGCUUAUUAGAACAGUAGCACAAAGUCCACUAUCACAGGCAAGGUGCUCAAAUAAGGAGACAGUACUUGUUUGAGAGCAAGAAGUCACCUUGCCACAAGAAAGAUGGCAGCUGCUCUGUGGAUUUGUGGUAGGUUUGGCACAAUAAAGGAGCUGAAUUUUUAGUUCUGUCUCUAUCCUGCUUUUAAAACAAAGGUAAAAUGCUUUAGCCUUCAGACCUUGUUAUUUAAAUAUCAAAUUAAUUUCAACAUUGAUCAGGAGAGGAACAUUCUCUAUGUUUGUUAGAAUGAUGGAAUUUUAUACAACUAUAUUUGGUGUGCUAUCCAUGUUUGUCAUAAUGAGUGCAUUAAAAUACUAAAAUGAGUUAUAUACAAUAAACAUAUAUAUAUAUAAAAGUUUAAGCAUCACUUGAAAGAUUUCCCACUACAGAUACAUAUAUGGAUUAAGUGUAGAGGCUAUAAAAAACCUGAAUUUUACGUAGCUGAAAGUAGUAAGAACAGUUGAUUAUAAUAAUUUUGUUAUGGUGGGUGCAGAUAGUAACCCAAAGUUAGGUUUGGCAAUGACAUAGCCUAAUCAUAACAAACUACCUUUUUUUUUUUUUUCAUAUACAGAUCAAAUGCAGUACUUCAGUGACAAGAAUGAGUUAGAAGUGUAAAAGGACUACUUUUAUGUGUACUUUCAUAGAUUUUGUGUACGCAAUAUGGAAUCUAGUUCUGCUUCAUUAUGUUUUUUUAAGUAGCACCACUGCUUGUGAUCCAGCCUCUAAUUUUAUAUUCUCAAAGCAAAAUUCUAGUUGUGUGAAGUUACACCUUAUAAGUAAAGUAAAUAAGUAAAUAAAUGAUGGAAUUGCUACAUAGAAUUUCUAUUUUUCAUGGGGCUCCCCGUUCAGUAAUCAUGAGACCUUGUAGAUCAAGUUGUACUGUUUUAUUUUUCAUAAUUAAGUAUUGAAAAGAGCAGCUGCAUGAAAUGCAGCUACAACAUUUAAUUAACGGAUGAGUGUUCAUUUUAUGACUACCAGUGUCUUACGAAUACCACUGUAUUCUCAUUUCCCAACACCUUGUACUAGAUGGCUGUUAACAGAAAAGUAAAUGAAAAGUACACAGGGAUGGAGAAUACAAUCAGAAAAGGGGAAAAUUAUGUAAACAGAAAUACUCAUAUACAGACAACUCAUAAUCUCUCUGCAAAUGUGUAGAGGUUGGACAGAAAAACCACUCAAUUCUUGUCCUGUCCCCCGAUGGCCUUCUCAAGCCCCUUUCUUUCUGCAUCUCCACACUAACUUUUUCAGAGCACAUUAAGCUGUUUGUUGUUUGAGUAAUAAAAAUACCCAAGUCAAAUUCUGUCCCUCCUUUGGUUGUUAGGUAACUAAUAAAUACUUGCCUCAUUGAUUCAAAAGCAGAGCCCAAAAAAUGACAGUUCAAGUUAUCUAUAAAGACUAAAACUGUUCCAAAUGCCCAUUACAAUGUAUAACUUCCCUCUGCCGCAAACAGACAGGAAAGAUGACAAUAUGUUGGCAUAGCAGGUUUUUAGAUCAACAGCUAUGCCAACAUCUUGCCUCCUCUCCAGCUCUGCAUAAAGGAAUUUCUUAGAAAGGUGUCUGUGGGAAUUGUACAACCUUUAACUGUGAUUUGUUUGAUCUAAAAUAGAAAUCCGAAAUUUAUGUAAAAGCUUCACAUUGUUAUGUAAAACAUUUGAAUAUCAGUCUCACCGUAAAAUGUACAGUAAUCCUAAUGUGAGUGGAUUUUUACUCCUUAGGCUAUGAGGUCUAAAAAAAUCUCUGACAGAAGCCAAGUUUGUAGCUCUGUGUCUAUAACAGCUGCAGAGCAGAGACAGUGUUUCUGUAUUCAGGACAUUUCUUACCAAAGCAUCAAUAAAACCCAUGAGAGAGAGUGGAUGAUCUAGAUCUGUAUCUUAUGCACUGGAGUGGAAUCAUAUUCUCAAGUGACUUAAUUUUAAACUAAUUUUGUUUAGUUUCUCUUUUUUUUUUUUUUUUUUCCACAUUCACAUAAACAAGAGAUUACAAAGAAGAGAUUUAAACACACACAUUUGCUGUUAUAAAAAAAUCGUUCUUUCUUAGAAAUCACACUGCCACCUUCUUGUAAUCUAUUUCCAUUUUCACAAACAUUUGCAGAGAGUAUUUUUGGGUACAGUGGAUUUGCCAAGGAAAUGUGAUAGUCAUUAUGAAACUGGAGACAGACUGCUCCAAUUUACCUUGCCCACAGUGCACACUUCCACUGUUUAAUGGUUGUUUGGUGUUUUCUUUUCACUUAUUUUAAUCAAACGAGGAGAGAUAUUUUAAUUUAUUUCUCUAAUCAUGCACCUUGUUCUAUAACGCAGUCAGAAUGGCAAGAGUGAAAUGUAAGAGUCUAAUAAGUGUAAAGAGAGUUGAUAACUAUAUGGAGCACAUUGACUAGGUCAAUCAUUCACAACACCAAACAUGUGCUUUACUGAACAGAUGAUGUUGUCAGCUAUAGUUGCCAAAUGUACCUUUGAUUUUCAUUGCCAAACUCUAUAUUCAAAUCUGACACCUUGAGCUCAUAUCAGUAUUGUGGAGUUUUGGUAGUUUUGGGUUUCUUUCCCUCCAGAUUUUUAAAAAUGAGGAGAAAAGCAAGGAAAAGUUGUUUACAUUUGUUACAACAUUAACAUAAGGGCAUUCAUUGUCACCAGACACUCUGGUAUUUUAAAAUUUUGUAGGUAAUCUUCAAAGAAGCUGGGGUUCAGUAAAACCUUUCAAAGCUGAGGUUGCACAAUGAAGCUUCCUUGAGGUGUUACCUUGCUAUCAAUGAUCAAGCCACUUCAGAAUAUACAACCUAGAACCCUCCAAAAAAUGGAGUGAACAUAGAAAAGCACAUUUUUCCAUAUUACAUAAAUAGAAUAGAAAACAUUCUGAAGCCAUGCACUUAAUCACGUUUUAAAAUACCACAAGAGAGCAUAUUUUGUUAUCCUUGUUAACACUUGUGUCUUCAAUUAACUUUACAACUAGCACGUGAGCUGUCUUACACAAAUAAAACCUGUUUCUCACCAAAUACUCUGAUCUAAGAAAACUGCCAAGUUAAAGGCAUGUGAGUGACACAACAUUUCAAAGAGUCCCUUUGGAAUUAUAUUUAAGGAAAAGUUCUUAAAUCUACCUUUUGGGAAUACUAUCAGUGAAUUCCAUUAGAAUUUUCCAUUUAGGUAUCUCAGGAUGGGAAAAAGUCCUAAUUCUUCAAAAUGGAAAGUAAAUUGUGAAUUUCAAAUGCUUAUUACAUAAAAAUUCAAGAAUGUACAGAAAAAACAUAUUUACUUGCUGUUUUGUGUUUGCUAAACCUUUCUUUCUGCCUUUAGAAUUUAAUUUAUAAAUAUAUAUGAAGCUUGUACAUUCAUAUAUAACUUUUCUUUACCAUUAUCUUACAAAUCUCUUAUAAGUCAGUGUGGUUAUUUUAAAACUUUGGCAAUAAUCUCUGAAUUUGCUUAAGAUAACUUUUCCAAUAUUUUUCUUCUGAACUGAAAACUGCUUAUAUUUGGGAUCAUAUUCUGUAGAAUGUUUGCAUGUACAUGUACUCACAUCAGUAGAGGGUUUUUAUACUCUGAUAUGA